CCUACAGCACAGGUAGCAAGCAGCAGCACCCAGCAGCCAGCAGCUUCCUCCAGAAGCCCCUUAGGUGGCUUUGGAGCAAGUGCCUCUAAUGAGUCACCUCCCUCAGCAGCUUUCCUUGGAACCCCAGAGAAUGGAUUUCCAACGAGUUCUGGAAUGUGGAUUUCUAGCAAGUUCCAGAAGGCAGAAUUCUAGCAGGGCUCUCCUGCUAUUCAGAAAGUUACAACUGUGCCCUCUCCAGCAAAGUCUGGAUCUCAGCCAGCCCUAAGAGUGUGUCUGUGUCUUGGAGGAGCUCUUUUUGAGAUGCUGUAUCUCAGCCCUAGGGUUAGUGCAAGCCCAGAGGCAGUCUAUACCCCAACUCAACUGGCUGGUCCUCAAUGCUGCCUGCUUCCGUGCCCAACUUAGAACUACACAUCUGCUGCCUCUUGGUAACAUGUCAUUAUAAGCCCGAAGUGGACAAAAGCAAGUGAAGGCAUUCAAACAAAUCAUUCAAAGUUGGAAACAGGGUUUGAUGGGACAUCUAUAGCAUGUAGAAAUAUUUAUGAAAAAUGGGGAAAGGCCUGCAGGGAGCACAGUGGGGCGAUUCCUUAUAAAAUCACUUGGAAGUGCUGGGGGCUUCUUCAUCAGCCCUAACCCUGCCAACCACUCCUGCCUCACUGAAUGUGCCAACGGAUUGCUCAGCUCCAACCAAGGAAAAGAAGAAGGAAGUUGGAUACUUUAUACCCUCUACAUUGUCCAUUAGCAACACAACCUAGAGCUAGGAUGGAGAAAGAAAAUGCCAAAAUGCUAAUGAAAAAUGUUCAGAUGUAUCACAUAUUAAGCAUACAUGAUCUCAAAUAUUUUGCCUGAUUUAUGCUAUGCAUGCUAUUUUCCAUGUUGUGUAGGCUCUGAUGCUAGUCUACAUUUACAGAAAUCUCCAUCAGCUGUACAAAUGGCAAUUUAAAUACAUUUAACUAUGUGCUAAUAAUCUCAUAAUACAAUUUAUCAUGUAUGAUUGGCAGAAGAAAUUAUUUGGGGCAAAAGCUAUGAUUGUAUUGUUGUAAGUUAUUAUGAAUGCUGGGCAGUGUAGGGCAUGGCACUUGCUACCACCUCCCAGAAAUGUGUAAGGGCUGUUGAAGGUGCCUUGUUCUUCUUUCUUCUUCAAUAUAAGCAAAGCUAUUUAUAUCAUAAAGCUGAAACUUGAAAUUCCA
This 1187-nucleotide long non-coding RNA is filed under the name Homo sapiens (human). RNAcentral's name for it is "lncRNA regulator of Akt signaling associated with HCC and RCC, transcript variant 1 (LNCARSR)". The record is from RNAcentral. Lineage: Eukaryota; Metazoa; Chordata; Mammalia; Primates; Hominidae.